RNAcentral lists this ribosomal RNA (253 nucleotides) under uncultured bacterium. Its description in RNAcentral is "partial 16S ribosomal RNA". It matches the Rfam family "Bacterial small subunit ribosomal RNA", at positions 524 to 776 of the family's 1533-position model. The record is from RNAcentral.
UACGAAGGGGGCUAGCGUUGCUCGGAAUCACUGGGUGUAAAGGGUUCGUAGGCGGUGUGGCAAGUCGGGAGUGAAAUCUCUGGGCUCAACCCAGAGGCUGCUUCCGAAACUGCUGUGCUUGAGUGUGGGAGAGGCGCGUGGAAUUGCAGGUGUAGCGGUGAAAUGCGUAGAUAUCUGCAGGAACACCCGUGGCGAAAGCGGCGCGCUGGACCACUACUGACGCUGAAGAACGAAAGCUAGGGGAGCAAACAGG